This 845-nucleotide ribosomal RNA is filed under the name uncultured bacterium. RNAcentral describes it as "bacterial SSU rRNA". It matches the Rfam family "Bacterial small subunit ribosomal RNA", at positions 35 to 928 of the family's 1533-position model. The record is from RNAcentral.
GCUGGCGGCAGGCCUAACCUGCAAGUCGAACGAGAAGACCUUCGGGUGGUGGACAGUGGCAGACGGGUGGUAACGCGUGGGAACGUGCCUUUCGGUUCGGGAAACCCAGGGAAACUUGGGCUAAUACCGGAUACGCCCUUCGGGGGAAAGAUUCAUUGCCGAAAGAUCGGCCCGCGUCGGAUUAGCUAGUUGGUGAGGUAAAAGCUUCCAAGGCGACGAUCCGUAGCUGGUCUGAGAGGAUGACCAGCCACACUGGGACUGAGACACGGCCCAGACUCCUACGGGAGGCAGCAGUGGGGAAUAUUGGACAAUGGGCGCAAGCCUGAUCCAGCCAUGCCGCGUGGGUGAAGAAGGCCUUAGGGUUGUAAACCCCUUUCAGCGGGGAAGAUAAUGACGGUACCCGCAGAAGAAGCCCCGGCUAACUCCGUGCCAGCAGCCGCGGUAAUACGGAGGGGGCGAGCGUUGUUCGGAAUUACUGGGCGUAAAGCGCGCGUAGGCGGACCUGUAAGUCGGGGGUGAAAGCCCGAGGCUCAACCUCGGAACUGCCUCUGAUACUACAGGUCUUGAGUCCGAGAGAGGUGAGUGGAAUUCCUAGUGUAGAGGUGAAAUUCGUAGAUAUUAGGAAGAACACCAGUGGCGAAGGCGGCUCACUGGCUCGGUACUGACGCGAGGUGCGAAAGCGUGGGGAGCACAACAGGAGUUAGAUACCCUGGUUGUCCACGCCGUAAACUAUGGGUGCUAGCCGUCGGGGAGCUUGCUCUUCGGUGGCGCCAGCUAACGCAUUAAGCCCCCCGCCUGGGGAGUACGGUCGCAAGAUAAAACUACAAGAUGAAGUCGAGACGCAA